GGGGCUGACAUGGAUUUGACAGUGAGUAAUUUGGAUUGUAAGCAUGUCGGGCAAAGUACAUUAUCCCGUAAAAAUAUAGUGCAAAACUAUUAAUUGGCGAAAAUAACUACGCUCUUGCUGCUUAAUUUUCACUCAGUGAUUUAAGCUUAAUCCUGCACGGAAUGUACAGGACGGGACAUCUGGCGGAUGGUUUGCUCAAUACCGGUUCGAUUCCCAGGUGCAGUUAAAUUUGAGAUAGUUCAGACAGAGCUUUGAUGUUUGAGCAAAACUUAAAAAGCUAAGGAUUAGAUCGGGUGCUUUUUCCCACUCUAAUUUCGAAAACUAAUAAAAAGAUAAGCAUGUAGAAAGCACUUUGGAUGCUUGUUUGGACCGGGGUUCGACUCCCCGCAGCUCCACAA
Molecule: transfer-messenger RNA, 398 nt
Filed under: Bacteroidales
Lineage: Bacteria; Pseudomonadati; Bacteroidota; Bacteroidia
Also listed under: 1 other name
Description: NBLH01 sp016937695 Standard tmRNA
Rfam family: transfer-messenger RNA
About the family: Bacterial tmRNA, also known as 10Sa RNA or SsrA, is named for its dual tRNA and mRNA-like properties. Its role is to liberate the mRNA from a stalled ribosome.
Source: RNAcentral